Molecule: long non-coding RNA, 216 nt
Organism: Anolis carolinensis (green anole)
Lineage: Eukaryota; Metazoa; Chordata; Lepidosauria; Squamata; Anolidae
Exons: 2
Source: RefSeq, a predicted model, not a curated record
AAGCUUAGUAGGCACUGACAACAUGAAGGAUGAUGUGACAGCCCAGCAAGGCCAAUGUGGUCCCAAUCCAUUGACAAUGACCCCUGAUUCAUCACAUGCAUAGUGGAUUCAAGGCUGAUCUGGACCAGAUUGACACGGUACGGAGUUGCUGCUCCAUAAUAUCGACUGCAAUGAAAAGAGAAAAUAAGACUGCCAAUAUUAAAAACUAUCACCCUU